AGUCAAGCAGUCCAGAUGGAACACCUCAUACCAGUGGGAUGAAAUUGAACAUGGAGUCUCUUUGCAGAAAUCUUUUCUGCUUGGAGUUGUGCAUGCCAGCUUUUCGAGACUAAGAUAGAUAUGAGUCCUCCAUGCCGGAUGUGUAACACAGCCCUAUAAAUGAGGACAAUAAAGAAUACUCAGAGAUGCCAGAGGAAGAUAUUCCAGCAGGGACCCAGAAAAAGGAGAUCCUGUGAAACUGAAGGGAACCUGUGACUGUGCAGCAGGAUUUGGGACCACGACCAUGACUCCAACACCUCAGACCCUGUGGCCCAGUUCAAGAAAUGCACAUCACAUA
Long non-coding RNA from Lepidothrix coronata (blue-crowned manakin), 337 nucleotides. RefSeq lists it as uncharacterized. NCBI's taxonomy places the organism in Eukaryota, Metazoa, Chordata, Aves, Passeriformes, Pipridae. The transcript is spliced from 4 exons. The record is from RefSeq and is a predicted model, not a curated record.